Molecule: ribosomal RNA, 465 nt
Filed under: Vreelandella stevensii
Lineage: Bacteria; Pseudomonadati; Pseudomonadota; Gammaproteobacteria; Oceanospirillales; Halomonadaceae
Description: partial 16S ribosomal RNA
Rfam family: Bacterial small subunit ribosomal RNA
Source: RNAcentral
CCUACGGGAGGCUGCAGUGGGGAAUAUUGGACAAUGGGGGGAACCCUGAUCCAGCCAUGCCGCGUGUGUGAAGAAGGCCCUCGGGUCGUAAAGCACUUUCAGUGAGGAAGAACGCCUGGUGGUUAAUACCCAUCAGGAAAGACAUCACUCACAGAAGAAGCACCGGCUAACUCCGUGCCAGCAGCCGCGGUAAUACGGAGGGUGCGAGCGUUAAUCGGAAUUACUGGGCGUAAAGCGCGCGUAGGUGGCUUGAUAAGCCGGUUGUGAAAGCCCCGGGCUCAACCUGGGAACGGCAUCCGGAACUGUCAAGCUAGAGUGCAGGAGAGGAAGGUAGAAUUCCCGGUGUAGCGGUGAAAUGCGUAGAGAUCGGGAGGAAUACCAGUGGCGAAGGCGGCCUUCUGGACUGACACUGACACUGAGGUGCGAAAGCGUGGGUAGCAAACAGGAUUAGAUACCCCGGUAGUC